CAGAGGAAGACUGAAGUAGGUUCAUGGCGUCUGCCAGGAUUGCCAAUAUCCAAAGCGAAUUCAAAGGCAGAAGAUACCCUGAUGGGGUGUAUUUUAGCGAAUAGAGUUGAAGAAGCACACCAGUUAUUUUGUAUGGCUUUGGGGACUAUGAGAAGUGCUUUAACUCAAUGGAAAUAAAAGCAUUGUGGAAACACUGGAUAAGAAAGGAGCAGAAGCCCCAUAGUUUCUGAGUACCCUAAAACAUCUAGGUGGAUAGCACAAUAAUAUUUAAGCAUGAGAAAUAGAGUGCAAAGAUCAUUCUGAAGUGUGAAAUUAACAGACUCUUCACCUUCUGCCUGGAGAAAACUUUCAAGGUUUUCAAGACUAAAGAAAAGGACUCAAGCACCUGAACCACCUCAGCUUUGCAGAUGACACAUCUUUGCUGAAGCUAAAGACCUUGAAGCAAAUAGGAAGGAACUCAAGAUGGAGGAAUGUGGACGUCAGAUCCUUUUGCAAAAGACCCAAAUCCUAUUCAUUGCAAAGACAGAAGGAAAAAAAGAUCACAGUGGGUAGGAAACAAUUGGAAGCUGUAAAGGAAUAUGUCUGUAUAGUCCACAAAAUAGAUAAUAUUCCAAACCAGGAAAAUGCGAGGAGAAGAAUCAAGCCUAGAUAUGUGGAGUCGUUAGGAAACUGACAGGAUAAUAAAGAACAGGCUCAGAUAAGGGUCUGUGCAAGUCCAAAGUAAUAUUAUUUUAAAAAGAGAACAAACAAGCUCUGUCUAAAAAAAAUUAAAAAAAAGAUAGAUUGACGUGUGUACUGUCACCUUUGGCAGAUAGAGAGCAUAGUCACAGUAGAAAUUAGUGGGAUGACUGGGAAGUAACAAAAGGCAGCAACAGUCAAUAGGGUCUGUUCAGUAGGGGAGAAUCUUUGUAUUGUAAUAACAGCAAAACAAAGAAACACAGGCAAAAAAGAGAAACAAGAGAUUUUUAAAAAAUUAAAAAUCUUUGUCAAGAGAUUAAAAAAAUUAAUUGUGAUUAAUCGUGCUGCUAAACAAUAAGAGAAUACCAUUUAUUUAAAUAUUUGUGGAUGUUUUCUACAUUUUCAAAUAUAUUGAUUUCAGUUACAACACGGAAUACAAAGUGUAGAGUGCUCAUGUUGUAUUUAUUUUUUAUUACAAAUAUUUGCACUGUUAAAAAAAAAGAUAGUAUUUUUCAAUUCACCAAAUACAAGUACUUUAGUGUAAUCUCUUUAUCAUGAAAGUUGAACUUACAAAUGUAGAAUGAUGUACAAAAAUAUUUAAAAAUAAAACAAUAUAAAACUUUAGAGCCUACAAGUCCACUCAGUCCUACUUCUUGUUCAGCCAAUUGCUCAAACAAGUUUGUUUACAUUUGCAGGAGAUAAUGUCAUCCGCUUCUUGUUUACAAUGUCACCUGAAAGUGAGAACAGGCGUUCGCAUGGCACUGUUGUAGCCGGUGUCACAAGAUAGUUAUGUGCCAGAUGCGCUAAAGAUUCAUAUGUCCCUUCAUGCUUCAACCACCAUUCCAGAGGACUGCCUGGUCCCAGCUCCUGAAGGGAAGACUUGCAGGUGCCCAGUCCUGCAGAGAAAUCAUGGUUGUUACUCAGGGUGCCGUAGCACAAGACCUGGUCUAAAAAUGAGAAUCAUGGGAUUCCACCUCAGCACAGGUGAAGGUGAGAGGCUUAACACCUGAGGUGGGUGCAGUCCAAGAGAUCAUUGAGGGCUCCAGGCCCUGUAACUGUGACAGGGAGUUUUGUAGCUUUUCAGGUAAAAAAAUUUCAAAGCUCUGUUGUGUUGUCUGAAACAUAUGGCUCUUAAGCCACAUAUUUAGUG
Molecule: long non-coding RNA, 1828 nt
Organism: Malaclemys terrapin pileata
Lineage: Eukaryota; Metazoa; Chordata; Testudines; Emydidae
Exons: 3
Source: RefSeq, a predicted model, not a curated record